UUAGGCAGUUGGGUGAGGUAACGGCUCACCAAACCUUCGAUGGAUAGGGGUUCUGAGAGGAAGGUCCCCCACAUUGGAACUGAGACACGGUCCAAACUCCUACGGGAGGCAGCAGUGAGGAAUAUUGGUCAAUGGGCGCAGGCCUGAACCAGCCAAGUAGCGUGAAGGAUGACUGCCCUAUGGGUUGUAAACUUCUUUUAUAUGGGAAUAAAGUUUUCCACGUGUGGAAUUUUGUAUGUACCAUAUGAAUAAGGAUCGGCUAACUCCGUGCCAGCAGCCGCGGUAAUACGGAGGAUCCGAGCGUUAUCCGGAUUUAUUGGGUUUAAAGGGAGCGUAGGUGGACAGUUAAGUCAGUUGUGAAAGUUUGCGGCUCAACCGUAAAAUUGCAGUUGAUACUGGCUGUCUUGAGUACAGUAGAGGUGGGCGGAAUUCGUGGUGUAGCGGUGAAAUGCUUAGAUAUCACGAAGAACUCCGAUUGCGAAGGCAGCUCACUGGACUGCAACUGACACUGAUGCUCGAAAGUGUGGGUAUCAAACAGGAUUAGAUACCCUGGUAGUCCACACAGUAAACGAUGAAUACUCGCUGUUUGCGAUAUACAGUAAGCGGCCAAGCGAAAGCAUUAAGUAUUCCACCUGGGGAGUACGCCGGCAACGGUGAAACUCAAAGGAAUUGACGGGGGCCCGCACAAGCGGAGGAACAUGUGGUUUAAUUCGAUGAUACGCGAGGAACCUUACCCGGGCUUAAAUUGCAUUUGAAUAAUCUGGAAACAGGUUAGCCGCAAGGCAAAUGUGAAGGUGCUGCAUGGUUGUCGUCAGCUCGUGCCGUGAGGUGUCGGCUUAAGUGCCAUAACGAGCGCAACCCUUAUCUUUAGUUACUAACAGGUCAUGCUGAGGACUCUAGAGAGACUGCCGUCGUAAGAUGUGAGGAAGGUGGGGAUGACGUCAAAUCAGCACGGCCCUUACGUCCGGGGCUACACACGUGUUACAAUGGGGGGUACAGAAGGCAGCUACCUGGUGACAGGAUGCUAAUCCCAAAAGCCUCUCUCAGUUCGGAUCGAAGUCUGCAACCCGACUUCGUGAAGCUGGAUUCGCUAGUAAUCGCGCAUCAGCCAUGGCGCGGUGAAUACGUUCCCGGGCCUUGUACACACCGCCCGUCAAGCCAUGAAAGCCGGGGGUACCUGAAGUACGUAACCGCAAGGAGCGUCCUAGGGUAAAACUGGUAAUUGGGGCUAAGUCGUAACAAGGUAGCCGUACCGGAAGGUGCGGCUG
This 1268-nucleotide ribosomal RNA is filed under the name Bacteroides thetaiotaomicron. Its description in RNAcentral is "bacterial SSU rRNA". It matches the Rfam family "Bacterial small subunit ribosomal RNA", at positions 241 to 1520 of the family's 1533-position model. Lineage: Bacteria; Pseudomonadati; Bacteroidota; Bacteroidia; Bacteroidales; Bacteroidaceae. The record is from RNAcentral.